AUGAGGCUGGUCGGCUUGACGGGUGGAAUUGCUUCGGGGAAGAGCACCGUCUCUGGCCUCUUCAAAUCCGCCGGCGUCCCUGUGGUCGAUGCCGACAUUGUGGCUCGGAAUGUAGUGCAGAAAGGUACUGGAGGUUGGAAGAAGAUUGUAAAAACUUUCGGAAAUGACAUAUUAUUGGAAAAUGGAGAAAUUGACAGGGCUCUCUUAGGUCAGAUUGUUUUCUCUGACCCGGCAAAAAGGAAACUUCUAAACCGUCUUCUGGCCCCACAUAUUUCAUGUGGUAUAUUUUGGGAGAUUCUAAAACUGUGGGUGAAGGGAUGCACGGUUAUCUCUGUCGACAUCCCGCUGUUGUUUGAGACAAAGAUGGACCGAUGGACGAACCCAGUGGUUGUUGUAUGGGUGGAUCCCAAAACACAGAUUGAGAGGCUCAUGUUAAGAAAUGGGUGCAGCGAGGAACAAGCUCAGAACAGGAUCAGCGCGCAGCUUGCACUUGACUGGAAGAAGUCCGAAGCAGAUAUAGUGAUCAACAAUUCUGGCUCACUGGAGGACACGAAAGAACAGUUCCGAGAAGUGUUGGAGCAAGUCUCUGCUCCCUUGACAUGGAAGGAGCGCAUGAGAUCCAGGGAUGGCUUUCUGUCUAUCGUCAUGUGCACGGCAGCGGGGGUUUUACUUGCUCAGAAGAAUCUGUUAUGA
This 693-nucleotide ribosomal RNA is filed under the name Triticum aestivum (bread wheat). RNAcentral describes it as "partial small subunit ribosomal RNA". Lineage: Eukaryota; Viridiplantae; Streptophyta; Magnoliopsida; Poales; Poaceae. The record is from RNAcentral.